RNAcentral lists this unclassified non-coding RNA (352 nucleotides) under soil metagenome. RNAcentral's name for it is "partial contains 5.8S ribosomal RNA, internal transcribed spacer 2, and large subunit ribosomal RNA". The stretch from base 1 to 120 matches the Rfam family "5.8S ribosomal RNA", at positions 35 to 154 of the family's 154-position model. The record is from RNAcentral.
GAUGAAGAACGUAGCGAAAUGCGAUAAGUAAUGUGAAUUGCAGAAUUCAGUGAAUCAUCGAAUCUUUGAACGCACAUUGCGCCCGCCAGUAUUCUGGCGGGCAUGCCUGUCUGAGCGUCAUUUCAACCCUCAUGCCCCUAGGGCGUGGUGUUGGGGAUCGGCCAAAGCCCGCGAGGGACGGCCGGCCCCUAAAUCUAGUGGCGGACCCGUCGUGGCCUCCUCUGCGUAGUAGUUUUCUCCUCGCAAGGGCAGCUCGGUGGCGACCUCGCCGUAAAACCCCCAACUUCUGAAAGGUUGACCUCGAAUCAGGUAGGAAUACCCGCUGAACUUAAGCAUAUCAAUAAGCGGAGGA